Molecule: small nuclear RNA, 134 nt
Filed under: Carlito syrichta (Philippine tarsier)
Lineage: Eukaryota; Metazoa; Chordata; Mammalia; Primates; Tarsiidae
Description: U1 spliceosomal RNA (ENSTSYG00000022808.2)
Rfam family: U1 spliceosomal RNA
About the family: U1 is a small nuclear RNA (snRNA) component of the spliceosome (involved in pre-mRNA splicing).
Source: Rfam by way of RNAcentral
AUGCUUACCUGGCAAGGAAGGUACCAUGAUCAUGAAGGUGAUUUUCCCAAGGUAAGGCUUAUCCAUUGCACUCCAGAUGUGCUGACCCCUGUGAUUUCCCCAAAUAUGGGAAAUCACUCCAAAAUUUGUGCCUC